This is a long non-coding RNA of Brassica napus (rape), 777 nucleotides long. RefSeq lists it as uncharacterized. Lineage: Eukaryota; Viridiplantae; Streptophyta; Magnoliopsida; Brassicales; Brassicaceae. The transcript is spliced from 4 exons. The record is from RefSeq and is a predicted model, not a curated record.
GUCAGCUUCUAGGGUUUUUUUUUUCUUUCUUUCUUUUCUUUUCUUCCUCUCCUCUUCUCUCAUCUUCUCUCGUGUUCUCCGUCGAGGAGAAACGUCGACGGCGUUGGAGCUCCGUCUUGGAGGAAGAGCGGCGCCCCCUCGUUUCUUCACGCUUCGCCUCAGGCUGUUCUGAGAGGGAAUUUGAAGCUCUUUCCUAAUUAUUUUCUAUUUGUACUCUCAGCUUAAAAUCUAAAAACUACUCUGCAGCCGUUAGACUAGCUUCAGGGGCUAGCCAUAUGGGCGCAAAGACACUAACUGAGGGAUUUAGCUUGCGUAGUCGGCCACCUUUGGCGAGUCUGUCCGCACAUGCAUUCUGUGAUCUUGGGAUAGCAGAUAUAGAGAAGCUUGAGAAAUCAAAGGAUAAUGCUUUAAUCUCGUCUAGCUCCGGCGCUAAGGCCGGCCAUUCCAUAUCGAUUAUGCCUUCUGCUUCCGCAUGGAGAGGUGAAACCGAGCUGAUGUUACCCUUGACCCCGAACAGGGUGGAUCUUCCAUCAUCUAAGUAGCACAAACCCGAGACCUGUAGCGCCCUGAUCUUCGAUCCAAGAUGCGUCAACCUGGCAUUUCCAUCUCCCUGCUUCAAUUCCCUGUCUCAUCUGAUCGCCACCUACUGGCAUAUCGUCACCCCCGAAUUGAAAGUACUUAUUUAUUGAUGCAAAGUCUAUCUGUUGGAUCAGUUGUAUGUGCCAAUGUUUUUGUAUGUGCCAACCUUUUUUUUUAAGAAACCUAAAUUAAGAAACU